GACGAACGCUGGCGGCGUGCUUAACACAUGCAAGUCGAACGGAAAGACCCUGCUUUUGUGGGGUGCUCGAGUGGCGAACGGGUGAGUAACACGUGAGUAACCUGCCCUUGACUUUGGGAUAACUUCAGGAAACUGGGGCUAAUACCGGAUAGGAGCUCCUGCUGCAUGGUGGGGGUUGGAAAGUUUCGGCGGUUGGGGAUGGACUCGCGGCUUAUCAGCUUGUUGGUGGGGUAGUGGCUUACCAAGGCUUUGACGGGUAGCCGGCCUGAGAGGGUGACGGGCCACAUUGGGACUGAGAUACGGCCCAGACUCCUACGGGAGGCAGCAGUGGGGAAGAUUGCACAAUGGGCGGAAGCCUGAUGCAGCAACGCCGCGUGCGGGAUGACGGCCUUCGGGUUGUAAACCGCUUUCGCCUGUGACGAAGCGUGAGUGACGGUAAUGGGUAAAGAAGCAACGGCUAACUACGUG
This 468-nucleotide ribosomal RNA is filed under the name uncultured bacterium. RNAcentral describes it as "partial 16S ribosomal RNA". It matches the Rfam family "Bacterial small subunit ribosomal RNA", at positions 28 to 507 of the family's 1533-position model. The record is from RNAcentral.